GAUGAACGCUGGCUACAGGCUUAACACAUGCAAGUCGAGGGGAAACGACGGGGAAGCUUGCUUCCCCGGGCGUCGACCGGCGCACGGGUGAGUAACGCGUAUCCAACCUGCCUCUGACUGAGGGAUAACCCGUCGAAAGUCGGCCUAAUACCUCAUGGCAUCGUCUGCGGGCAUCCAACGACGAUUAAAGAUUUCAUCGGUCAGGGAUGGGGAUGCGUCUGAUUAGCUUGUUGGCGGGGUAACGGCCCACCAAGGCUACGAUCAGUAGGGGUUCUGAGAGGAAGGUCCCCCACAUUGGAACUGAGACACGGUCCAAACUCCUACGGGAGGCAGCAGUGAGGAAGAUUGGUCAAGGGGCGGGAGCCUGAACCAGCCAAGUAGCGUGCAGGAUGACGGCCCUAUGGGUGGUAAACUGCUUUUAUGCGGGGAUAAAGUGAGGGACGUGUCCUUCAUUGCAGGUACCGCAUGAAUAAGGACCGGCUAAUUCCGUG
Molecule: ribosomal RNA, 491 nt
Filed under: uncultured bacterium
Lineage: Bacteria
Description: partial 16S ribosomal RNA
Rfam family: Bacterial small subunit ribosomal RNA
Source: RNAcentral